CAGGCCUAACACAUGCAAGUCGAGCGGUAGCACAAGGGAGCUUGCUCCCUGGGUGACGAGCGGCGGACGGGUGAGUAAUGUCUGGGAAACUGCCUGAUGGAGGGGGAUAACUACUGGAAACGGUAGCUAAUACCGCAUAACGUCGCAAGACCAAAGAGGGGGACCUUCGGGCCUCUUGCCAUCAGAUGUGCCCAGAUGGGAUUAGCUAGUAGGUGGGGUAAUGGCUCACCUAGGCGACGAUCCCUAGCUGGUCUGAGAGGAUGACCAGCCACACUGGAACUGAGACACGGUCCAGACUCCUACGGGAGGCAGCAGUGGGGAAUAUUGCACAAUGGGCGCAAGCCUGAUGCAGCCAUGCCGCGUGUGUGAAGAAGGCCUUCGGGUUGUAAAGCACUUUCAGCGAGGAGGAAGGUGGUGAACUUAAUACGUUCAUCAAUUGACGUUACUCGCAGAAGAAGCACCGGCUAACUCCGUGCCAGCAGCCGCGGUAAUACGGAGGGUGCAAGCGUUAAUCGGAAUUACUGGGCGUAAAGCGCACGCAGGCGGUUUGUUAAGUCAGAUGUGAAAUCCCCGGGCUCAACCUGGGAACUGCAUUUGAAACUGGCAAGCUAGAGUCUCGUAGAGGGGGGUAGAAUUCCAGGUGUAGCGG
RNAcentral lists this ribosomal RNA (649 nucleotides) under uncultured bacterium. RNAcentral describes it as "bacterial SSU rRNA". It matches the Rfam family "Bacterial small subunit ribosomal RNA", at positions 43 to 681 of the family's 1533-position model. The record is from RNAcentral.